UACGGGGGGGGCAAGCGUUGUUCGGAAUUACUGGGCGUAAAGGGCUCGUAGGUGGCCAACUAAGUCAGACGUGAAAUCCCUCGGCUUAACCGGGGAACUGCAUCUGAUACUGGAUGGCUUGAGUUUGGGAGAGGGACGCGGAAUUCCAGGUGUAGCGGUGAAAUGCGUAGAUAUCUGGAGGAACACCGGUGACGAAGGCGGCGUCCUGGACCAACACUGACACUGAGGAGCGAAAGCCAGGGGAGCAAACGGG
RNAcentral lists this ribosomal RNA (253 nucleotides) under uncultured bacterium. RNAcentral describes it as "partial 16S ribosomal RNA". It matches the Rfam family "Bacterial small subunit ribosomal RNA", at positions 524 to 776 of the family's 1533-position model. The record is from RNAcentral.